Molecule: long non-coding RNA, 768 nt
Organism: Triticum aestivum (bread wheat)
Lineage: Eukaryota; Viridiplantae; Streptophyta; Magnoliopsida; Poales; Poaceae
Exons: 2
Source: RefSeq, a predicted model, not a curated record
UCAUGAUCUCUGGAGAAGGCAGGAAACAUGGCAAGGAAGCAAUUGCAGGAGGCAUGUUCCCUAGUUCCUCCCGUACCUCUCUCCCUGAAUACAAAGCUCGGUUAGGUAUCUCAAAAUCUUCUACAUGUAAACGCUCGACUCCAGCUAUGGUUGAGAUGGAGGUAUUCUAUACAAGUCCUUCUAUAUAUGUUUGUUUCUUACUUACUGUUGGAUUGAAGAUGCGAUUGCCAUGCCAUAUUUUGCAGGCCCGACUGGCGGAGUUGAGGCGAGUGGCGGCGGAGGAGAGGGUGGAGGAGAGGCGACUGGCUGAUGAGAGGACGCAGCAAGCGGUGCAGCAGGCGAUGUUGGCACAAACUAGUCAAUGCUUUGCAAUGUUUGCGGCUUAUUGUACCCAGAAUGGUAUGCCCGCUAUGACGAUGCCUCAUCAAUCAGGCCAUGGAUCUAAUACUGAUGGAUCUUCACAUGCACGAGGCCCAAGCGACAACAACCUUGGUGGUUCUCCGAAUGUAUGAGAUCGAGUAUGGUUGGUGGUUCUUUUGUCUGUUUGGCAUAUUGAUGAUUUCAAGCACGUUAUUUGUUCUUGUGCCAAAACGUGACGGUCACCAUUCAAUCUUGUAUGCUAUGGAACUUUGUCCCGGGACUAUAUGCUAUGGAACUUUGUUCAUUGUUGCUUAUAUUUGCUAUGGAACUAUAUGCUGUCCUGUUAUGGUUCUGUGCUGUGAGGAUCUUUGGUUAUGGAUCAAGGCAAUUACUAUAUUGUGUAUUAAA